RNAcentral lists this ribosomal RNA (345 nucleotides) under uncultured bacterium. RNAcentral's name for it is "bacterial SSU rRNA". It matches the Rfam family "Bacterial small subunit ribosomal RNA", at positions 488 to 832 of the family's 1533-position model. The record is from RNAcentral.
AGCCACGGCUAAACUCUGUGCCAGCAGCCGCGGUAAGACAGAGGUGGCAAGCGUUGUUCGGAAUUACUGGGCGUAAAGAGUCUGUAGGUGGUUUGUCAAGUCUUUGGUGAAAGGCCGUAGCUUAACUAUGGGAAUGCCAAAGAGACUGGCAGGCUGGAGGCUGGGAGAGGGAAGCGGAAUUUCUGGUGUAGCGGUGAAAUGCGUAGAUAUCAGAAGGAAGGCCGGUGGCGAAGGCGGCUUCCUGGAACAGUCCUGACACUGAGAGACGAAAGCGUGGGGAGCAAACAGGAUUAGAUACCCUGGUAGUCCACGCCCUAAACGAUGGGUACUAAGUGUGGAGGGGUU